UACGUAGGGACCAAGCGUUGUUCGGAUUUACUGGGCGUAAAGGGCGCGUAGGCGGCGCGGUAAGUCACUUGUGAAAUCUCUGAGCUUAACUCAGAACGGCCAAGUGAUACUGCAGUGCUAGAGUGUGGAAGGGGCAAUCGGAAUUCUUGGUGUAGCGGUGAAAUGCGUAGAUAUCAAGAGGAACACCUGAGGUAAAGACGGGUUGCUGGGCCAACACUGACGCUGAGGCGCGAAAGCCAGGGGAGCAAACGGG
RNAcentral lists this ribosomal RNA (253 nucleotides) under uncultured bacterium. RNAcentral describes it as "partial 16S ribosomal RNA". It matches the Rfam family "Bacterial small subunit ribosomal RNA", at positions 524 to 776 of the family's 1533-position model. The record is from RNAcentral.